GGGGAGGUGCUGGGGGAGUGCUCCAACUGUAUGGACAGGGCUUUCCUGGAUGCAGGGUACAUGAGCUCAAGAAAGGUUAAUGCCAUUGGAGCUCUUGAGCUGAGGGUGGUCCGUAAAGGAACUUUUCACAAGAUUAUGGAUCAUUAUCUGUCGUUAGGAGCGGCUGUUAGUCAGUACAAAACUCCUCGUUGUGUUAGCCCCACAAACACCACUGUCUUGCAGAUCCUCUGCUCCAAUGUUGUUAACUCCUAUUUUAGUACUG
This 262-nucleotide unclassified non-coding RNA is filed under the name Hevea brasiliensis (rubber tree). The record is from RNAcentral. Lineage: Eukaryota; Viridiplantae; Streptophyta; Magnoliopsida; Malpighiales; Euphorbiaceae.